UACGGAGGAUCCAAGCGUUAUCCGGAAUUACUGGGCGUAAAGAGUUGCGUAGGUGGCAGAGUAAGCGAAGCAUGAAAUCUUGUGGCUCAACCAUGAGGCUAUGCUUUGAACUGCUCAGCUAGAAGAUAAGAGAGGUACCUGGAAUUCCCAGUGUAGGAGUGAAAUCCGUAGAUAUUGGGAGGAACACCGAUGGCGUAGGCAGGGUACUGGCUUAUUCUUGACACUAAGGCACGAAAGCGUGGGGAGCAAACGGG
This 254-nucleotide ribosomal RNA is filed under the name uncultured bacterium. RNAcentral's name for it is "partial 16S ribosomal RNA". It matches the Rfam family "Bacterial small subunit ribosomal RNA", at positions 524 to 776 of the family's 1533-position model. The record is from RNAcentral.